RNAcentral lists this ribosomal RNA (659 nucleotides) under Cryptosporidium bovis. RNAcentral describes it as "SSU rRNA". The record is from RNAcentral. Lineage: Eukaryota; Apicomplexa; Conoidasida; Eucoccidiorida; Cryptosporidiidae.
ACGGUAGUGUAUUGGCCUACCGUGGCUAUGACGGGUAACGGGGAAUUAGGGUUCGAUUCCGGAGAGGGAGCCUGAGAAACGSCUACCACAUCUAWGGAAGKCAKCAGGCGYGCAAAUUACCCAAUCCUAAUACAGGGAGGUAGUGACAAGAAAYAACAAUACAGAWCCUUACGGUUUUGUAAUUGGAAUGAGUUAAGUAUAAACCCCUUAACAAGUAUCAAUUGGAGGGCAAGUCUGGUGCCAGCAGCCGCGGUAAUUCCAGCUCCAAUAGCGUAUAUUAAAGUUGUUGCAGUUAAAAAGCUCGUAGUUAAUCUUCUGUUAAUUUUUAUAUAUAAUAUCACGAUAUUUAUAUAAUAUUAACAUAAUUCAUAUUACUUUUUAGUAUAUGAAACUUUACUUUGAGAAAAUUAGAGUGCUUAAAGCAGGCUAUUGCCUUGAAUACUCCAGCAUGGAAUAAUAUUAAGGAUUUUUAUUCUUCUUAUUGGUUCUAGAAUAAAAAUGAUGAUUAAUAGGGACAGUUGGGGGCAUUUGUAUUUAACAGUCAGAGGUGAAAUUCUUAGAUUUGUUAAAGACAAACUACUGCGAAAGCAUUUGCCAAGGAUGUUUUCAUUAAUCAAGAACGAAAGUUAGGGGAUCGAAGACGAUCAGAUACCGUCGUA